UACGUAGGGUGCGAGCGUUAAUCGGAAUUACUGGGCGUAAAGCGUGCGCAGGCGGAUGCUUAAGCCAGACGUGAAAUCCCCGGGCUUAACCUGGGAAUGGCGUUUGGGACUGGGUGUCUUGGAGUGCGGCAGAGGGAGGUGGAAUUCCUGGUGUAGCAGUGAAAUGCGUAGAUAUCAGGAGGAACACCGAUGGCGAAGGCAGCCUCCUGGGCCAGCACUGACGCUCAUGCACGAAAGCGUGGGGAGCAAACAGG
This 254-nucleotide ribosomal RNA is filed under the name uncultured bacterium. Its description in RNAcentral is "partial 16S ribosomal RNA". It matches the Rfam family "Bacterial small subunit ribosomal RNA", at positions 524 to 776 of the family's 1533-position model. The record is from RNAcentral.